This 1372-nucleotide long non-coding RNA is filed under the name Mus spicilegus (steppe mouse). Its description in RNAcentral is "lncRNA (ENSMSIG00000005718.1)". The record is from RNAcentral. Lineage: Eukaryota; Metazoa; Chordata; Mammalia; Rodentia; Muridae.
AUGUUCUUUAGCCACCCCAUUACCCAUGUAAAGGAGAUUCGCAUCCCAAAUAAGCCAUCUGUACACAUGUCCUCCUCUUCCCACUUUGGGAGGCAUGGGGACCCAGAUGAAGCCAGUGCUAACUUCAAAGAGGCGUUCUGGCCGUUACUGCAAGCUCUUUCUACCCUGCUAAUGAAGAACUGGUUUGUUGGGUUUGAGACUUCAUGCCUUCAUUUCCCAAAUGCUCUACCCUCGAGGGCAUCACUAACAACGUGGAGACAAGCAGAAAAUGGCCACUCCCAGGAGAAAGUCAUAGACUGGGUGAGAGUCAGUCACAACUGGGCCCCGGCCACAUCUCAGCUCAUUUUCUCCCUAGUACAGUUCUGCCUGCCAAUUUGGGAACAGAAGAAAAGGCUUGGCUGUGAAUCUGAACACAUGAAGCAGAACCUGUGGGAACCAGGUCAUUAUAAACAAGACAUGUGCCAAGAUUCCAUCUCCUUCCUGCACCUCACGUCCAGACGGAAAACCUGCGGGCCAGGCCCUUUAGCACCUGUGCAUUUCACCUGGACCGCCAGAGGGCGCUGUUGCAAACAUCCAAAUGCUUUACCGGGGAGUGAAAAUUCCCACACAAGUCUGACAGAAAAGCCACCUAAUGAUAAGGUACAGUAUUAAGCCAGAUAUCUGCGUGUUUGUCAUCGAACGGGUAAAGUUCAGCUUUGUUACUGUUUGUUUUAAGCUUAAACUGACUGUGAAUUUGACCCUCUGGCAAGCAGAAGAUCAAGGGUAGACACUGCAGCUAAGGGACACACACACACACACACACACACACACACACACACACACACACAGAGCCAGAGAACCCUGAGCAAGGCCAGGAAAGUAAGCGGAUGUCUGGCAUGCUGGGAACCCCUUGGGGGCAUCUCUUAGAGUUGUCACUGGAAGCUGAAAGGGAUUAAACACAGUGGAAAAUGGAGCUGGGUUACAUUAGUGACCCAGGUUGGUCUCUUCAGAAAGGGGGAUUGGUCACCUCACCAGUAACCAACUGAGGCAGCUAAGGCGCUUCCUGAGGCCAAAGGGAACACAGAACAGUAGUAGAUGACAGUCAUAAAUGGCAACUGCCACCAUGUGACCAGUCACUAUGUCUGUUCUGAGAAGUUAGUCCUUGUUUCCUUGUGGGGAUGGUUGUGUGUGUGUAGCAAUAUCUACUAUGCUUCCUUCUGUUUCUUUUUUUAAUUUAUUGUUUUUUUUUUAUUUCAUGUGCAUUGGUGUUUUGUCUGCAGGUAUGCCUAUAUGAAGAUAUCAGAUACCCAAGAACUGGAGUUACAAACAGCUAUGAGCUGCUAUGUAGGUGCUAGGAAUUGAACCUGGGUCUUACGGAAGAGCAGCCAGUGAU